This is a long non-coding RNA of Onychostoma macrolepis, 829 nucleotides long. RefSeq lists it as uncharacterized. The transcript is spliced from 6 exons. NCBI's taxonomy places the organism in Eukaryota, Metazoa, Chordata, Actinopteri, Cypriniformes, Cyprinidae. The record is from RefSeq and is a predicted model, not a curated record.
ACAAAAUGAACCAAGCUGCGACCGCGUGAAAGAAUACUGGCAGCUGUAAAAACGCAUUACAUUACAUUUGUAUGCUACUACUAAAUAUUGCAGAACACAGAAGGCGUGUCAGGGCAGUAAUAGCUUUCUUUGAAAGCACUGCCGUUUUUCCCUGGGGCACGUUCAAGUUCAGACUGGUGCCCAACGUUUUGCUACGGUUUCAACGACAUGUUUCCUGCAACGGGGUUUGAGAAACGUUUUCUGUUGUUUGCGGCUAAUGAACCGGAAGUCUCACCCAUAGGCUUACUUCCGCAUUGAAGAAAAAGGUGGAUAGAUCUGGAACCUCUGCAUCUCUCUCUUGUCUCCGGCUGAGCUGAACCUGGAUGGAGCCCAGAGGCUUCAGAUAUUGAUCACCAGCUAGAAAGGAAAGUGACCUUCAAAAACUCUAUCUUCAACUCGGCGGAUGAUUCACUGCCUUUGAACAGGCCGCUUAAAGAGAUGUAAUUAAUGCGGAAACUUGUGUGCCGGCAGCAUUUGAUUACCUGGAAUAGACCAGGGGAGCCCAAGGCCUGCUGGGAUGUUUCUGCCCGAUCAAGAGCAGCACAUCGUUUCUCAUCACGCUGUGUGAAACAGGCCUACAGACUGAACGGUGGCUCAAAACCACCGUUAAAAUAACCGGAUAAAGUCUUGAUGGACGACGAUUGUAAUCAAGUAGUUCCACGAUGGCUCCUUCAGAUCCAGAGACCCUCUGCUGCUCAAACUCCUCUCUGCUGAUCUGUCUGCAGAACGAGUGAGGUGGAGACACCAUGGAGGUGUCCGUGUCUGCACCCGCGUACUUUAUCUUGAAGAA